CUACAUAGGUGAUCGACGUAGGCCUCCACGGGGACUAGCACGUGGCUUGCUAGGGAAUCCCCCUCAGGCGCCGCUUAUAUGUCAUGUUGGGACUCAUAGGUAAUUAAUUUCAUAAUCCUAUAUAGUAUUACUAUAACAUAAGUAUUUAGUUCUUAUAUAUUCUUUGUAAUUUGAAAUGUAUUAAUUUCAAUUGUAGUAUCCUUGACGCCACGCCAAGGAACACGUUGCUUGGGAUCGUCCGCAACCGAUUCUCAAGCCCGUGGAUGAGGUGGGCGGAUGUGGAUGACCGCACACGGCAGCUGAUUAUUGAUGAGUUUAGGGUAGGAUGUCAAUCAUUCAUAUGCUAGUUUUAUAUUCCAUUUGAAUAUACUGUUACCUCUUUGAUUUAUGUUGUCUACUAAGCUUCUUAAUGUGUAAUGUGCAGAGAUAUUAUCGUUUUGAGGACGGGCAGG
RNAcentral lists this long non-coding RNA (452 nucleotides) under Panax ginseng (ginseng). RNAcentral's name for it is "long non-coding RNA (PGIN_LNC017588)". The record is from RNAcentral. Lineage: Eukaryota; Viridiplantae; Streptophyta; Magnoliopsida; Apiales; Araliaceae.